Long non-coding RNA from Varroa destructor (honeybee mite), 333 nucleotides. NCBI's taxonomy places the organism in Eukaryota, Metazoa, Arthropoda, Arachnida, Mesostigmata, Varroidae. The record is from RefSeq and is a predicted model, not a curated record.
CGCUUAUCGAACUAUCGGCCUACGCAACGUUUGAGGUUUUUUUUCUUUGGGACGUUCUCGCACAAAGCCUAAACUAGGGGCAUGUGUGAACGCAGCGGCGCGAAUAUCCUUGUCGAGCGGCAAUUUCUCCGAUGGCCGCUGAAGAAGGCUUGUCAGUACCCUCGGUGACGACAAAAGUGUAUCUCAGUUUUACUCAGCCAGCCGAGCCAGCCUAGGCGUCUUUGCUUCGAAUUCGAUGCCUGUUCAAGCUUGAAACUUAUUCAAGCAGCGACACAACUAGAUUCGGAACGUUGCGUUUCCAUCAAUCAGUCAAAUAGCCAGUUAAAUAACUGA